This 1959-nucleotide ribosomal RNA is filed under the name human gut metagenome. RNAcentral describes it as "bacterial LSU rRNA". It matches the Rfam family "Bacterial large subunit ribosomal RNA", at positions 1 to 1983 of the family's 2925-position model. The record is from RNAcentral.
GAAAGUAAGCAAGGGCAGACGGUGGAUGCCUUGGCUCUCGGAGGCGACGAAGGACGUGAUAAGCUGCGAAAAGCCCGGGGGAGGCGCAAAUAGCCGUUGAUCCCGGGAUAUCCGAAUGGGGCAACCCGGCAGGCUGAAGGCCUGUCAUCCCGAAAGGGAGGCGAACGUGGGGAACUGAAACAUCUAAGUACCCAUAGGAGGAGAAAAUAAACAAUGAUUCCGUAAGUAGUGGCGAGCGAACACGGAAGAGCCCAAACCCAUGUCGUCUAGGCGACACGGGGGUUGUAGGACCACGACGUGGCAAGAAGGAAGGGAAAUGGAACGCCUUGGAAAAGUCGGCCAUAGACGGUGAAAGCCCGGUACAUGACUCCCUUACGAAGCCUAGUGGUAUCCUGAGUAGCGCGGGGCACGAGAAAUCUUGCGUGAAGCAGCGGGGCCCAUCCCGUAAGGCUAAAUACUCCCGAGAGACCGAUAGCGAACCAGUACCGUGAGGGAAAGGUGAAAAGAACCCCGAGCAGGGGAGUGAAAUAGACCCUGAACCCGUCUGCCUACAAGCGGUCGGAGCGUCGUAAUGACGUGACGGCGUGCCUUUUGCAUAAUGAACCUACGAGUUACCUUCCCCGGCAAGGUUAAGUUCUUGAGGAACGGAGCCGAAGCGAAAGCGAGUCUGAACAGGGCGCCAAGUCGGGGGGGGUAGACGCGAAACCGAGUGAUCUACCCUUGGCCAGGUUGAAGGUUGGGUAACACCAACUGGAGGACCGGAUGGGUAAGCGUUGAAAAGCUUUCCAAUGAGCUGAGGGUAGGGGUGAAAGGCUAAUCAAACUCGGAGAUAGCUCGUACUCCCCGAAAUGCAUUUAGGUGCAGCCUCUUUAUAGUAUAUCGUGAGGUAGAGCGACUGAUUGGAUGCGAGGGCUUCACCGCCUAUCAAGUCCAGAUAAACUCCGAAUGCGCGAUAUAUAUUUACAGGGAGUGAGGGCGCGGGUGCUAAGGUCCGUGUCCGAGAGGAGAAGAAUCCAGACCACCGGCUAAGGCCCCCAAAUGAUCGUUAAGUUGAACUAACGAGGUCGGAUCGCAGAGACAGCUAGGAUGUUGGCUUGGAAGCAGCCAUUCAUUUAAAGAGUGCGUAACAGCUCACUAGUCGAGCGAUCUGGCGUGGAUAAUAAUCGGGCAUAAACGAUCUGCCGAAGCCGUGGAUGUCGCAAGACAUGGUAGGGGAGCAUUCCAUGCCGCGUCGAAGAUGAGGGAUGACCCUUGUUGGAGCGCAUGGAAAAGCAAAUGUAGGUAUGAGUAACGAUAAGGGGGGCGAGAAACCCCCCCGCCGAAAGACCAAGGUUUCCUGAUCAACGCUAAUCGGAUCAGGGUGAGUCGGGACCUAAGGCAAAGCCGAACGGCGCCGCCGAUGGAAGAAUGGGUUAAUAUUCCCAUACUGCCUCAUGGAGUGACGUGGAGACGGAGAAGUGACAGUCCUGCCGGCUGACGGAAUAGCCGGUUGAAGGGUGUAGAUAUUGAUUCCCGUAGGCAAAUCCGCGGGGAGAGUCGAACCUGAGAGUAUACGGAGCGCUUGCGCAACGUAAUAUGGACGUAACCAUGCUCCCGAGAAAAUCCGCUAAACUUAUCCAUGCGGCACCCGUACCGUAAACGGACACACGUGGUCGGGUUGAGAAUACUGAGGCGCUCGAGUGAUUCACGGUUAAGGAACUAGGCAAAUUGACCCUGUAACUUCGGGAUAAAGGGUCCUCGUCGUAAGGCGAGGCGCAGAGAAUAGGUCCAGGCAACUGUUUAACAAAAACACAUGGCUGUGCUAAAUGGAAACAUGAUGUAUACAGCCUGACACCUGCCCGGUGCUGGAAGGUUAAGAGGAGAUGUCAUCGCAAGAGAAGCGUUGAAUUGAAGCCCCAGUAAACGGCGGCCGUAACUAUAACGGUCCUAAGGUAGCGAAAUUCCUUGUCGGGUAAGUUC